RNAcentral lists this ribosomal RNA (253 nucleotides) under uncultured bacterium. Its description in RNAcentral is "partial 16S ribosomal RNA". It matches the Rfam family "Bacterial small subunit ribosomal RNA", at positions 524 to 776 of the family's 1533-position model. The record is from RNAcentral.
UACGUAGGGGGCAAGCGUUGUCCGGAAUCAUUGGGCGUAAAGAGCGUGUAGGCGGCUCGGUAAGUCCGCUGUGAAAGUCCAGGGCUCAACCUCGGAUCGGCCGUGGCGACUCGUGGGCUGGAGCACUGUAGAGGCGGGUGGAAUUCCGGGUGUAGCGGUGGAAUGCGUAGAGAUCCGGAAGAACACCAGUGGCGAAGGCGGCCCGCUGGGCAGUGGCUGACGCUGAAGCGCGACAGCGUGGGGAGCAAACAGG